This 725-nucleotide ribosomal RNA is filed under the name Palmaria palmata (dulse). Its description in RNAcentral is "eukaryotic LSU rRNA". It matches the Rfam family "Eukaryotic large subunit ribosomal RNA", at positions 335 to 1145 of the family's 3401-position model. Lineage: Eukaryota; Rhodophyta; Florideophyceae; Palmariales; Palmariaceae. The record is from RNAcentral.
CGAUAGCGAACAAGUACCGUGAGGGAAAGAUGGAAAGAACUUUGAAAAGAGAGUGAAAAGCACUUGAAACCGUCACGGGGGAAGCGGAUUGCGUGAGUGAUGGUGUCGCUUGUUCAGCGCUUUAUUGCGUGCAUUCUGGCGGCGCCGUGCCGGCGUGGCUGGCUGGACUGUGAUUUUGACAGUCUCGGCUGGUGAGGGCUCCCUCGUAUGAGGUGAGGACGCGGGCAAAAUGACGCAAUACGACCCGUCUUGAAACACGGACCAAGGAGUCUAGCACGGCUGCGAGUCGAAGAGUGAUUAAACUCAAGGGCGCAGUGAAAGCGAAAUUAUAAGCAAAUUGGGGAGGCGUUGCGUUUUUAACAAAAUGUCUACCUCGAGCAUUUGUGCUGGGACCCGAAAGAUGGUGAACUAUGCCGGAGUAGGGCAAAGCCAGAGGAAACUCUGGUGGAGGCUCGUAGCGAUGCUGACGUGCAAAUCGCUCGUCGAACUUGGGUAUAGGGGCGAAAGACUAAUCGAACCAUCUAGUAGCUGGUUCCCUCCGAAGUUUCUCUCAGGAUAGCGGGCCGACACGCGUUUGUUGUUUUGUGCGGUAAAGCGAAUGAUUAGUGCAUUUGGGGUACGAAGUACUUCGGGCGAUUCUCAAACUUUAAAUGCGCAAGGGGGUGGCUGCUUAAUUGAGCCUACUCUUUGAAAAACGUCGGCCCUGUGGGCCACUUUUGGUAAGC